Bos mutus (wild yak) is the source of this 2218-nucleotide long non-coding RNA. Lineage: Eukaryota; Metazoa; Chordata; Mammalia; Artiodactyla; Bovidae. The record is from Ensembl.
CUCGCGCGGUCCCCACCCGGCGAGUGUGAGGCUCUUGCGGUGGGCUUGCGGCGCCCCCUGGGGGCUCCGAGCGGCUCUCCCUCCUGGCACGGGCCAGCCGGGAGACGUCAGCUCGAGCUUGAGGGGCGCUCCUAGGCUGCCAGCCAGACUGUCCGGUCCUCGGUCCCCUCCAGGCGCCGGGAGCACUCCUGCAGGCGCGGCUCGGUUCUGAUGCAUCUCUGAAGGUGACAUCCACGCAUCUCCGUCACCGAGAGAUCCCAUCCUCAUUCCGUAGAUGAGGAAGCCGGGUUUCUAAGACACAUCCACCGGCACCAAGAGGAGUCUCUGGGACCCUGAGGCCCAUCCUCUCUCGUCUUUUUCCACCUAGGGACCCCAUCCUUUGCCUUACAGAGCCUAGAUGUGACCUCGGACAUGGUUUGAGUCCCUUUCUACCUGCCCUCUCUUCGCGGUUUCCUGAAGCCAGAGAGAUCACCUGAAGCAUCCUUCUUGGGACGGGCUGGCAAGGCUGCAGUAUGAACAAGAGUGUGUGUGGAGUGGGGUUAUUCUUAGCUACUGCAGAAGGAAGGUAGAGCAACUUUAAUGGAGGCGAAUCUGAGAACAUCAUCGGAACUGUCCUCGGAGAAAAAGUCCAGUAUUCACUUACUGGAGAAAGAGCAGCCAAAAAAGUUGGAUAAAGGAAGUAGGAAAGAGGAUUAUGGGGGCCUUUCCUAUGCCCACGCCAGAACAGCCACAGGAAUCAUGGUCCCCAAGAGCGGCUCCUUCUGAAGAACGUGAUAGUGAUGAAACAUUUUCCAAAGUGUUGAUUAUAACACAGUUUGCAGCAUGACUCAGUUUAGUGGAUCAUGCAUUUGGCCACAGAUCAGGAGCUCUGGAAGAAAAAUUGCUACUGGACACCCACUCAAGUUGUACUGGAUAAAGUAACUGACCAAUGCACCAGAUUCCAGAAGGUUGAUGAAUAUGCAGUAAGUAAUGUGGUUUCUUUCUUGUACCAGCUCCACGCAAAUUGACUGGAGCAUAUAGAACAAUGUUUGAGAUCCAAUGAAGAAGCAGAGGAUUUAUCUGCACCAACCUGGGCUUGUCAUUCUUGGCUGUGCAUGAUCAGCAUGUGAAGCCGUCCUGUUGAUGGAUUCAGCUGUGAUUGGGAGCAGUGAGGACAAAGUAGGCUGUCAGAGAGGAGCAAGUCAUCCGGAUUCUCCCAGACAAGGAGACAACACUGAAACUACGUUGGGCUUUUUCCUUCUGAAAUCUGGCAAAGUGGAAUUGGCUGAAAAGUAAGCAGUGCAGUCUGUUUUUAAUUUCACUUCUCAAGAAAGCCAGCUAACUUUCAUCAUGAGUUAUGAAGCUUGUAUCUUUUUUUUGAAAUUAACUUUUUCAUAAACCUUAAUUGAAGAUAUGCAGAAUUUUUACAUGUGAAAAUAUUUUUUCCAAUGUAUUACCCAGUAUUUUUCCAGUGUAUCACCCAGUUUUUAUUUAAAGUUAUCCUCUAUUGUUCUAAACAGUACAUAGUGCCAAAAGCUAAAAAAAAAAAAAAAAAAUUAUAAUUUCAGCAUCAGGAAUGGCUUGUUUAAAGAAAUCGGCUUGCAAUAGAUUGUAAUGAACUAUAAUGGCCCUUUAAAGAUUUAGAUGACCUUUUAAAGAAUGGUUUAGAAGUAAAUUGCUAGAAAUAUUAAUUCAUUAACAAAAAGAAAAACGUGAACAUGAGGGGGGAUGAAUUGCCUGCCCUUUUUGGGAGGUAGGGAAAUAAUAGUCCACAUUGGGACCUACAGGCCCUGCCACUGCUACUGAGGCCAGUGACCCCAAGAACUGACCACUUGGAAUGUUCGCUACCCCUGGCCUGGCACUAGGGUCUAAGUCUGUGGUAUAAAGAAGACCUACUGGGCUUCCUUGGUGGCUCAGUGGUAAAGAAUCUGCCUGCCAAUGCAGGAGAUGCGGGUUUGAUCCCUGGUAAGGGAAGAUCCCCCAUGCCGAGAAGUAGCUAAGCACGUGCGCUACAACUACUGAGCCUGUGCGCUACAGCCCACACACACACAACUACUGAAGUCCACAGGCCCUAGAGCCCACGUUCCACAAGAGGAGCCACUGCAAUGAGGAGCCUGCACACCGCAACGGGAGAGUAGCCACAGGUCACUCAACUAGAGAAAAGCUUGUGCAGCAACGAAGAGCUAGCACAGCCCAAAAUAAGAAUAAAUAAAGUUAUAAAAAGGAAAAAAAAAAGAGC